RNAcentral lists this transfer RNA (57 nucleotides) under Capra hircus (goat). It matches the Rfam family "tRNA", at positions 8 to 63 of the family's 71-position model. Rfam says of the family: Transfer RNA (tRNA) molecules are approximately 80 nucleotides in length. Their secondary structure includes four short double-helical elements and three loops (D, anti-codon, and T loops). Lineage: Eukaryota; Metazoa; Chordata; Mammalia; Artiodactyla; Bovidae. The record is from Rfam by way of RNAcentral. RNAcentral also lists the same sequence under 1 other name.
UGUCUCAGUUGGUAAAGAAUCUGCCUGCAAUGCAGGAGACCCUGGUUCAAUUCCUGG